UACGUGGGGGGCAAGCGUUGUUCGGAAUUACUGGGCGUAAAGGGUGCGUAGGCGGCUUUCUAAGUUGGAUGUGAAAACUAUGGGCUCAACCCAUAGCCUGCAUCCGAAACUGGAGAGCUUGGGUUCUGGAGGGGAAAGCGGAAUUCCUGGUGUAGCGGUGAAAUGCGUAGAUAUCAGGAGGAACACCGAUGGCGAAGGCAGCACUCUGGGACGUGACUGACGCUGAGGAGCGAAAGCGUGGGGAGCGAACAGG
RNAcentral lists this ribosomal RNA (253 nucleotides) under uncultured bacterium. Its description in RNAcentral is "partial 16S ribosomal RNA". It matches the Rfam family "Bacterial small subunit ribosomal RNA", at positions 524 to 776 of the family's 1533-position model. The record is from RNAcentral.